CUUUAAUUCGGUUUGCAGUUUUAAAAGACAUGUAAUCUUUAAUCUUUUACAUAGAUCAUUUUGAAAUAUACAGACAAAUGUUCACCGCGGUGAGUUUAACUUUUCGUUCGGGUUUUGUUGUUCUGCUUAUUGGGCUUGUUCGUGCUUGUGACCGCCAACCGCGUUGCAUAUCUGCGCUUCUGUCACUCCGUUAUCAGUGCGGACCCCUCCCCGAGUUUGCCCUGCGCCCCUUCAGACGAAGCCCUCCACCCCUUACCAGCAAUCACCACCACGUCGUUUCACUUUUCUACCGGUGACUUUUCCCGCGACGCUUAGAAGCUUCAUUCCUGCUUCAUUUAAUAAUAGUAUUAAUUCCUGCUUCAUAUAACAAUCGAAUUAUUAUUAUUAUUAUUAUUAUUAUUAAUAGUCAAUUAGAACUAAUAAAUUAAGUAACAUUUUGUGUAUUUUUGAACGUGUUCUACUCGAGCUAAAUUAGUGGGCGAUGCGCCGCCGCGGUAGUUGGGCAGCCCCUCUUGAGACUCGACGCACAGCCACGGACUUUCCUCCAGCUUAAUACCGGAGAUCUUCAGUCAAAUAAUUUACUUUUCAUGCAAAACAGUUAUGUAUAAGGCCACAGUUUCCCCGGGGAAAGGCAAUAAAACAUGUAAUUUUGAUUAACACUGAUGACUCGUUCCUUUCAGUUUAGCAGAAAAAUCCAGACUUGCGCAUAACAAACCGAGGUUUUUGACGUGAUACGAUGUUAUACCCAGCAUUUCCUUGAUUGGUAGUUCGCGUCAGUAUCAGUCAUGUACAUAUCCGUAGUUCAAAUUAUGGGUAAAAGAAUCCAGAAUUUUAUAUUUGGUGGUGCACUACAACAUACUCAUCGAUUAAAUAUAACGUAUCAUUUUCAUAUCAUUAAUGGUGAUAAUGACAAACAAGCUUUGUAGAAUAGACACGCUUGUGGUUGAGAUUUAUGACGCGGAAACGGUAUUUUAGAUGACUGACUUGAUGAGCCAUGGUAAAUAUGGUUAUGAGCCAGCUAAUAUUAAUAUAUUCACAUUUAGAUAAGGCUCAGAUAAUAGGUCGUGCGUUAAUAAUGCUAUUUUUGCCACAUGCUUUGACUGAAGCAUUUGAAGACAAUUCAUUAGUAAGUAAUAUUUUUCACCAUCUAGUACAAUUAUCACUGUAAUGAUUGUUAUUCUUUACUGUAAAAGUAAUACGUACUCACGGACAGUGUUACAUUUAUUAAAUAUAACUUUGACGAGUCGCAGUUAGUUUGGGUAUUUAAUUACACCACUGCAAUGAUCGUAGUGGUUAAACAAAUUUUUAAACGGAAAUAUUUUUACAGCAGUAAAAACUGUUUGUAUUUCAGUAAACCGUGGAAUUAGCACUGUACGUUUUUCUGUUACUGUAGGUAAAAUAAAACCAUUUUCGUAAUGAAUAGGGGGAAUUCCAGAAUAUUAAAUUUCACAACGUAUUGUACAUGUAGAUAAUGCAUUAUAGAUUCUUUAAACUUUCAGUGUGUGUUUUAGUAUGCGACGUGGAUAUUUUGAGUAUCCACUGUCAGCAACAAUUACAAGUUCAUUAAGUUAAAACAGCUAGCUGUCACCUACUUUUGGUCUUAAGGUAAAACAAAAGUUUUCUGAAUAUCAUUGGAAGUAGGUCUUAAAGUAAAAAGGCACAGUUAUUUAAAUUGUAAUGUCAUUGUCAGCGAUAAAUAUCUAUUUUAUGUGGUGUAAUUUUUAAAUAAACCAUAUAGCAAUAAGAAUGGGAUAAGAAAAUUGUUUUUACACAUUACUCCAAAUUAAGUAUUUUAGCACACCUAACACUGUGUACGUAUAUCAAUUAAAAGUAUAAAUUUGAAUAAUUUUAAGUCUCAAAAAUGGGGUUGGUCUGCAGCUGUUAAGUAGUGUGCACACUUACGUACCUGUAGAGGUCAGGCCAAUAAACACCACUUAACCCAAUACUAAAAGCCAUCAAAACUCAUAUUACAAACAUUAAAGAUGAAGUUCAGCUUUGUUUUACUCAUCUGUGUUUCAAUGAACACUAUUCCUGGUUCACUAAUUGGGAGGAGGCCUAUAAAAUCUGUUGAAUUCAAUUAAUCAGAUAACAAAGGCAUAAAAAUGCAAAUGACAGAUGCAGUGUUGGUUACCACGUAAUGAAUAAAAUAGGUGUAAUUCAUUCAGUAAGUACAUUAUAUAUUUUCUCCUAUGUGUUUUAUUUUGAGAGAAAGUAUUUGGUAGCAGUGGUUAAGGUAGUUUGCUUUUGAUGACAUUACUACAAAUCCAAUUCCUGUAUGAGACAAUUGCUGUAAAAUAUGUAAUAUUAAAAAUAUGAAUGGUCUUAGAUUUUUUGGUAUGCAAACAGUUGAUUAUAUUAAGGCUUCUAUCAACUAAAUAAGCUUGGCAUUUUUGUUUGCCAGUGAUAAUUAAACAAUGGUGAUUUUUCAAAGGUAGAUUUUAAUACAAAGAUAUCUGUUCUGUAAGUGCUAGACUAGUGCAGGAUUCUGGGUAUGUUCUGUUACAUGGUAACUUUUUUUUUAUUUACAAACGAAGGGCAACUGCCUUUAAAAAAAAAGACUCCCUCUUUGCUGUAGGAUGAUGGUAAUAACCCUGUAAUUACUAGCUAUUUUUAUUGGCUCUUAAUUUACCGGUCAUUUUUGAAAAGGUGGGAUUUUUUUUCCAAGAGCUUUUUGUAUUUUCAGGCUCAGUGGAUAAUUAUAGCUGUUGGCUUUUAUAAGGCCUACAACUGAGAAAUCCAUAUUAUGAAUUGAUUAUUUUAAAAAAUACUUCUUUGUAUUAUAAAUUUUCUCUACUUCUUUCAGAUGCAAGGAUAGUUUUGUAGUAAGUUAAUUUUUCACUUUGAAUUAGUUACAUACAUGGUUUUUACAUUGAAUAAAAGCCAUUGUGAUCAUUAUCAUUUUAUUGUAACAAAAAUACUUCAUGGAAAUAUUGUACACUUCAAGUAUACAGUCCACAUUUAAACCAUAUUUGCUAAAGAUGUGUUAUACAGCACUUUAAGUAUAUGAAUGUACAGUGUUUCUAAUAUGUAACAGAAAUAUUCAACUCAUCUUUAAUUUUAUUUUUCUGUACUAUUUUGUACUUGCCUACAGGUGUAACAAGGGAGAUGUGUGUGUAUGUUUGUGUGUGUGUGUGUGUGUAUGUAUGUGUCAUUGUCUGAAGUAGGCAUGUAGUCAGAGGAUAGUUCAGUGGUUUCCUAAUGGUUGUGAGUGUUUCCAGUCAAAAUAACCUGAUUAGUGCAUGUAUAAAAAGGGCUUUGCGACAUAAUUAUGAAGACUGAACAUGUAAGAAAUAAUCACGUAGUUUUAUUUUGUUGUUGUACGGGUUAGUAUCUCACAUGCACUUCCGCAGCAUUCUGGUGAAACACGUAUUAAAUGUUAUUGCUUAUAUUUAUUAUUAUUAUUUCUGGGGGGCUUUUUAUUGGGAGUGUGUGUUUGUCUGUGUGUGUACGCAUGUGCAUGUGUGUGAGCUGUCUAGGCCUCACUCCUCAGUAAAACUAUCUGUAGAACCAGAUCAACAUUUUCCACCCUUGGCUUUGCUUCCGAUAUCUGUAGAGAGGCACGGGACUAAGCAAGCAGUAGGGAGAGCAACGCCAUCCAAAUUUAUAAGGCAAAAAAGUGUUAAAAUCUGUAUAAAUAGUUUACCAUACCUUACAGUAAUCCCGACUUUUCCUUUGUUGCCCUGAUAUAAAUUCCCUGAAACUUCCUUAAUUUCUCCCCUUCUGUUAAAUGCUAACUGAACCAAGGCCAAGAUUAAAGUCUAAAAAGCUAUAUGGCAUGCUGCCUGUCUGUGUAUCUCUAUGUUUAUGUAGCUUGCCUCCAUCCCAACACACACAGACACUUUUACUAAGGAAAACAACACAUUCCCUCUCCUGUUUCCCUUUCUUGUUGCUUCUCCAAUGUGUAAUUUGCCCCCCCACCCCUCCGCCUGCACGAAUGUCUUGGCAGGCGAACAAGAGGGAGAGUGAGCGAAUGCCGUUGAGCGCUGGCUCAGCCCGGCCGAAGAGCCCCACAAAAUAAUUUUUUGUCCCUAAACAGUGACAGCUUUCGAGCUCAAAAUUAAUAUCCAAGUAAAGUGGUCCCAAAGGGACCCCCUGAUUUUUUUUCAGAUUUUUCAGGCUCCCUGAAAAGGUUCAUUUUAAUUGUAGAAAGUGAUGCCCCGGGAAAAAGCCUACACACACCCUGCUUUUUAUGCCGACCAAGUUCCUCAGACGGCAUCACUGGCCGCGGCAAAGCAGAGGCAGCACACCACUGGAGAGCAGGUUUCUGAAGUUUUACAUCCUUCAAGGGCUGCCUGAUGGGAGUGCAAUGCAGGACCAGGCUGUCAGCUUUUCAUCUACGUCUUGAUUUUCUCCUCUCCUCGUCCUCUCUCUCCUUCUUUCUCUCCCCCCUUUUUUUUUGUUGAGUAUACUGAGGCUGGCAAAGGAAGCGGCCUCAUUCUCCCUGCUUCUCUACCCAAUGCCUACAACAGUAUGGUGACCAUAUCACUUUACUUUAAAAAAAAUAAUAAAAAAAUCUGACUUCAGGAAUGCCAGGAUAUGCAUAUUAACAUCCAGAACCCAACACAGCAGUCCAUGGGGUGGACUUAGAACAAGCAGGUCACCCUCAAAGCCCAAUCUGCAGAUAGCAAUGUUUACCACUGCUGGAUCAGGAUAUUCAUGUAUAAUUAUACUUUUCGGUUGUGUUUUUGGCUUAUCAUGUCAAGAUAAUUCCUGAUAGGCUUGUCGCAUUGUUUUCUGUUUUGAAUGGUGUUUUGGUGCUAAAGAUAUUGUUUUCUCUUUUUGGAAAUCAUGGUAAAAAGUAUAAUAAUUAAAACUGUUUAAUUUGCUAUAGUACUGCAAGUAAAAAUAUACUUCCAUUACACUGUUAGCAUCACGUGUGUGAAAAUUGUGGGUGUUUGGUUGAUCUGAGCAGACUUGCUGAAUUUUCAGUACACCAAUUUGGGUGUGGUGUACUUAAGAAAAGUAUUUAUAACUUUUGCACUUUAAAAUACUAGGUAAAAUAUUUAUUGCUGUUAUUGAUCAUUUUAAUUAGGUACAAUUAUAUAUUUAAAACAGCAUUUGUGAAUAGAUGGUUUAUAUGCUGGUAAAAUAUUGCCACAUCACUUGCUUUUAUGUGCUGUCUUCCUUUGUGGGAUCCCUGUCACCAAAGUGUUUGUGGUGUCUUUUGAUUUAGUUUUAGAUGUGUGUGCAUGUUGCUGUGUUUAUAUGGCUGUUGUGCGUUUGUUGUUAAUAUUGUACAGUGAAACUGAGCCCAUGUUUUCACAUGCCUUUUUCUCUUUUUUUUGCCUGUCCUCUCCUCCAUUUUGUGUAGCCCUCCAUUUUGUCAUGAACACUUGCUGAGUAAUUAAUUCAGUUUCCAAAUUCAAGCCGCUUUUUUUUUCAUUUUAAUAUAAAAAAAAAACUUUCUGUAUUCUUGACUUUAGAAUCUGGUAUAUAGAUUCUAAUACUAUCAGAAGAACAGAUUUUAAUGCAUUUAGUUGAGUUGUAAAUUGCAGAACUAGUUUUAUGUGUUUUUUUACAUUGUUGUGAAUUUGAAAACAUUUUUCAUGUUACUACUUUUUUAUUGUACUAUAAACCUAAAAAGUAGGUUUUAGUAUAAAUACUAAAAGUAGUGUUUUUAAUGCACUUGGGCAAAUGUCUUACUGGGAUGAGAUGAUUAAUUUUAUUGUUUAAUCAUUAAGUCAUUGUCUUCCAGUGGGUGAGUCGGUAAUUUUAUAUGACUGUGACCUUCUAAUAGAUGACAUUCAAGUUGUUUAUGCAUAAUGCCCUUCACAUUCGGCAGAAUCAGGACAAAUCAAAAUAGACUCCUAAAAAUGAGCAAUUAUGGACACAGCAUUAUGGCUUAAAUGGCAUUACAGAAUUCAGAGUUACAGGGACCCUGUAAUAUUGGGCUGUCCUCUCCAAUUUGGGCUGCAAACAUAGAGACAAAACCACGGAACUACAUGACAGGAUUUUACAAUAUUGAUCAGAUUUGUAUUUUAAUUAACAAGAAAUUUAUUUGAAUCCACCACUGAUUGCAAAGUAAACUACUGUAAAAAUUGUGAUCCAAAACAUUAUUUUAGAAAGUGUUGAAGUGAUGUAUAGAAGCCUUGAAUUACAGCACCAUCCUUAAACCAAAUGUUUAACCCUACUAAAUAUAAUGAAAUGCAUCUGAUAUGGAUGAUACACAUAGGAGAAUGGAUAAUUCUUGUGUUGGACUGAGUUUCUUAAAGUUAGAUGUUAAAUGAACUAAUCACACCAUGAAGGCAGUGAGUGUUCCACCUUCAUUCAGACAAAUACAGUGUAUGAAUUCAAUGAGACUAACUAGAAGAACAUCAGAAAAUAAGUCAGUUAAUAUAUAAAUAAGCCAGAAAAUGAACCGUAGAAAUAGAUGUUGUCUGGUGUAUUUCAUCCCAAUCAGUAAAUGAUUUGUUCCAGUAUGGCACCCUUUUUCCCACUAUGUGGCCAAUCUGAUCCCUUCUAACUGCACUUGACUCCAGAGUGCCCUCUAGCAGCACAUCAUGGUUUGCAGGCUUCCCAAGAUACUUUCCAAACCAUUCUGUGCUGUUUCUGGGAACUCUGGAAAUUACAUUGGGGAGUUCCUCAGGAGUAGCACACCGCCAUCCCCCCAGUUUACUGUCGUUUUUGCAAUCAGCAAGCCAACUGCAGCCUAUAGUAAACAAAUGUUUUUGAUUGUGGGGUGAAACAUAUAAAAUGUUACAGGCUCUUGCUUGGGACCAUUAACACUUAAUACGUGUGGUGAGUGACUGAAUUUUAGGGAGGUGAAAGUAAGUGCUGCUGGGUUCUGCUGGACACAUUAAAGAUGGAUGAUACUUCACAUAGUGAAAGGCAUAUUAACUUCAGGCUUUAUUUUAUGCCAUUAUGUUUUGUAUAUCCUGUAAUUAUACCUAUUAUAUACCAUUUAUAAACCUGUUUCUUUGCUGUAUAGCAUUGGAGAAAUGUUUCAUAUUCAUUUGGCUGCUGAGAAAAUAGAAAAUUCUAGUAACACUUAAAGCAAUCAUAAUGCAUUUAUAAAGUUUCAUCAACAUGGCUAUAACAAUUUAUUAAAAGGCAUAACAUGUUACGGUAUAGCCAUGUUUAUUAUGCAUUAUGAAUGCUCUAUAAAGCUGUUAUCUCAUGCACUAUAUCUUCAUAAUGCAUUAUAAUGGUCAAUAUAAGCCAUUAUACAAUAUAUAUAGUGAAUUGUAGAUGAGAGCUUCAUUGAGCAUUCAUAAUGCGUAAUAAGCAGCUAUAAUGUGUUGUGCCUUUUUAUAAAUAGCUAUAGCUGUGUUGAUAAUACUUCAUGAAAACUUCAUAAUGCAUUAUAAUGCAAUCUAUAAUGCAUUAUACAUUAGUGCUUUAAGUAAAAUGUUGCCAAAAUUGUCAUACCAAGAAAUGUGUAUCUGCCUCACUUGUACAUCAUUUUGCGUAAAAAUAAUCUGCUAAAUAAUAUAAAUGUCUGAGAAACCGGGACUGAUUAAAUUUCUGCUGCAUAAAUACCUGUAAUCUAUGCUAAGCCAUUGCUAAGGAAAUGGAAGUGAAUGCAUCCAUGGCAGUGACCAGAUCGGGCCAGGUGACAUAGUGUGCAGGGCUGUAGCAGCAUGUCAAUAUUGGGAGCUGGUCUCUCUCUGGGCUGCCAGUAGGGCUCUGCUGCUGCAGUCAGGCAGACAUCACUCAUCGUCGUGUCCUGGGCUUGGGGCCUGGCCCAUAGAUGUGAGCAAGCACCGCAUUAGUGACCAACGUCACCACACCUCAACAUACCUUAAUGCGCAUGUAAAGAUACAAGAACCUUAUGGCGCUAACUACAGAUAGGUUUUCUGUAGAUACUCUGGUUGCUUUCUGAAAUCUGAAGACUUGCUGCUAAUUGGUCUCUCUAAAUUGCCCAGAGUGUGAUUGUGUAUGUGCCCUGCAAUAGCCUGGAAUCCUGACCAGGGUAUCCCCAGCUUGGUGCCUCAUGUUGUCUGGAGUAGUCUCCAGGCUCCCCUGCAAUCCUGACCAAGAAACAGUUACAAUAUGGAUGAACUGUACUGAAAUCAUUGUACAGUACUGAACUGCAGAAAAACUAUACUUAUGUUUUAUGUAAUGGUGCAGCAUGUUGAAUUCAGACAACUUAAUAUUGGUAUAAUCCCACAUUAUUUUAAAUUGGUAUCAAAACUGAUGUACAAUAAUUCAAAGCACCAAGCAACAGUUAUCACUUUCAGCUUUGGCAAAAUAAAAAUAUUAAAAUGUGAUUAGCAAAAGAAAA
Molecule: long non-coding RNA, 8224 nt
Organism: Brienomyrus brachyistius
Lineage: Eukaryota; Metazoa; Chordata; Actinopteri; Osteoglossiformes; Mormyridae
Exons: 2
Source: RefSeq, a predicted model, not a curated record